This 492-nucleotide ribosomal RNA is filed under the name uncultured bacterium. Its description in RNAcentral is "partial 16S ribosomal RNA". It matches the Rfam family "Bacterial small subunit ribosomal RNA", at positions 29 to 507 of the family's 1533-position model. The record is from RNAcentral.
AGUGAACGCUGGCGGUAUGCCUAACACAUGCAAGUCGAACGGCAGCACAGUAAGAGCUUGCUCUUACGGGUGGCGAGUGGCGGACGGGUGAGGAAUACAUCGGAAUCUACUUUUUCGUGGGGGAUAACGUAGGGAAACUUACGCUAAUACCGCAUACGACCUACGGGUGAAAGCAGGGGAUCUUCGCACCUUGCGCGAUUGAAUGAGCCGAUGUCGGAUUAGCUAGUUGGCGGGGUAAAGGCCCACCAAGGCGACGAUCCGUAGCUGGUCUGAGAGGAUGAUCAGCCACACUGGAACUGAGACACGGUCCAGACUCCUACGGGAGGCAGCAGUGGGGAAUAUUGGGCAAUGGGCGCAAGCCUGAUCCAGCCAUACCGCGUGGGUGAAGAAGGCCUUCGGGUUGUAAAGCCCUUUUGUUGGGAAAGAAAAGCAGCAGGUUAAUACCCCGCUGUUCUGACGGUACCCAAAGAAUAAGCACCGGCUAACUUCGUG